ACAUGCCUACAACAUAGCAUUAAUGCAAUGGAUCCCACUAGAACUCUGUAGUUAAGUGUGCUCAGGAUAGAGUAGUAUUGGGAUGGGUGAUCAUCCGAUAAGUUCUAGUGUUUUACAUGUC
Molecule: non-coding RNA, 121 nt
Organism: Picea glauca (white spruce)
Lineage: Eukaryota; Viridiplantae; Streptophyta; Pinopsida; Pinales; Pinaceae
Source: Rfam